UAUUUAAAAAAAUGUACAGACAUUUCUAAAAUUGAUUAUAGGAUUAUGGGUUACUGAGUGUAGAUUAUUAAGAAAAAAUACCAGUUUACCCAAAACCUCCAGAUGACUCAGGGAGAUUAAGUGAAAGUAGAUGUUUGCCGAAUAUAAAAACUCCUGACGUACCUUUUCAGGAGCUGACUCUGAGCUGAAGGCAUCAUAGGAGAGAAAACUUGUUUGAAUCAAUACUUUACCUCUGUCAUGUGGCAUUAAUUAUUGAUAGAUGGAUGGUUGGAUGGAUGGAUAGAUAGAUGGAUGGAUGGUGUAAAUGUCUCAGGAGGAUUUUUUUUUCUUCAAUGAUAAUAUAUCUAUUUUGUUGCAGUAGAUAUGGGUGGAAGCUGCAGUAGAAGACAGUGGGUCCUUCUGGUAUCAGGUUCUAAAGGCUGGGAAAACUACAGGCACCAAGUUUGAACAUGGAAUUCAGCAGCGUGCUUUUACACUCAGUCUAAAUAUACAGUAAUGUAUUUAUAUUUAAUAAACAGAAAUGUAAAGUCUCUGAGUUUCUUUUUCAGGCCAACGUGUGUCACGUCGCUCAACAGAACGGUGUUCCAGAAGAGCAAAUGGUGGUGAUGAUGUACGAUGAUAUUGCAGAUAAUACAGAUUUCAAAGGACUACACUGGAAGGGAGGUCUCAGCUGAAAACUUUCUGGCUGUCCUGCGUGGAGAUUCGGUUGCUGUCAAGAAAACAGGAAGGAAAAAAGUCAUAGAAGGUAGAAACCUAAUCUUCAGCUUUACUCAUUAAAUUCCAUGUCUGAGUCAGGUGAUGUUCAUCCUGCAUUGUGAUUGGUCAGAACCCAAAGGUAUUGGUUGGUUUUGUAUAACAGCAGAAUUGUUCUGAUACGUUAUCAUUUGUAUAGUAACAGAAGGAGUCUCCAGUGUUAGAGAUUUGCACUGGUCAGAGGUCAGACACUGUCACAAAGUUUUCCAACAUUUUCCGUCAAAUUGCUUUCAUUGUUUGUGUCAUUAACUCAAAGAAAGAGAAGAAAGAGAGGAUGGUGAGGAUUUAGUUUUUAAUAGGUGCUUUAACGUACACCAGAACAGGACUGAGCAUGUUCUCAGGAUGUUCCCCAACGCUAAAUGUAACUAUUGAAGAAUUCAAAUGGACAAAA
Long non-coding RNA from Silurus meridionalis, 1144 nucleotides. RefSeq lists it as uncharacterized. The transcript has 3 exons. NCBI's taxonomy places the organism in Eukaryota, Metazoa, Chordata, Actinopteri, Siluriformes, Siluridae. The record is from RefSeq and is a predicted model, not a curated record.